GUUGGUGAUGAGUAGAAAGAGAAUCCACUAUUCAACACAAACAAAAGUGGGUUAUUUUGGUUUAAUUUUCCCGAUAAACUUUCCCGCGAAAAUAAUCCCACAGAAUUUUCUAGACAAGACAACUCUAUGAAGGAAAAAAAAUCAAGUUGCAAACAGCAAAUAGGAUAAAAGACCUAUUUCAUCAUCCUCCCCUGUCUCUCUAUAUUGAUAUUUUCUGUCUGUUUCUACAAAAUACCGGGUGCUAUGAUGUCUGCU
This 255-nucleotide unclassified non-coding RNA is filed under the name Hevea brasiliensis (rubber tree). The record is from RNAcentral. Lineage: Eukaryota; Viridiplantae; Streptophyta; Magnoliopsida; Malpighiales; Euphorbiaceae.